CAGCCGCCGCGGUAAGACAGAGGAUGCAAGCGUUAUCCGGAAUGAUUGGGCAUAAAGUGUCUGUAGGUGGCUUUUCAAGUCCGCCGUCAAAUCCCAGGGCUCAACCGUGGACAGGCGGUGGAAACUACCAAGCUGGAGUAUGGUAGGGACAGAGGGAAUUUCCGGUGGAGCGGUGAAAUGCGUUGAGAUUGGAAAGAACACCAACGGUGAAAGCACUCUGCUGGGCCGACACUGACACUGAGAGACGAGAGCUAGGGGAGCAAAUGGGAUUAGAUACCCCCGUAGUCCCUGUCUCUUAUAC
RNAcentral lists this ribosomal RNA (301 nucleotides) under uncultured bacterium. Its description in RNAcentral is "partial 16S ribosomal RNA". It matches the Rfam family "Bacterial small subunit ribosomal RNA", at positions 509 to 807 of the family's 1533-position model. The record is from RNAcentral.